UGUCCUCUUUUAGGAUCUGCC
RNAcentral lists this non-coding RNA (21 nucleotides) under Rattus norvegicus (Norway rat). The record is from RNAcentral. Lineage: Eukaryota; Metazoa; Chordata; Mammalia; Rodentia; Muridae.